CAGUUCCUUAACCCUAAAGGGGGGUAAUAGGGCCUGCCUGUAAGUAAGGAUGACAUGGCAUAGGGCACUCUUAGCAUAGUGCCUGGCAAGAAGGAAGUGCUCAGAACUGGUGGCAAUCAUGGUUUUUGUAACAGAAGAGGUGGAGGGCGCAGGGCACCCUGGAAAGAACACGCACUUGGCAUCAGGAGAUCUUCACAUGACCAUUUACCAGCUGCCUCCUGCACAACAGCGCCGCGCACGAGCCACCCCUGGGCCAGGGAGCCCGAGCCGUGGGAUCUGCGGGCCCGGGGCCGCAGCUUCAGCUCCUGGGCUUCUGCUCCCGGGUGCCGGCGGCCGCUGCGAUCCGAUCCGUCCCUUCCGCAAGACGGAGCGGGCGCGGGUCCCCAGCAGGUGCGGCCUCCCGCGAGGUGCCGCCCCUCGUCCCCGCUCCCGCCCCAGCGCCUGGCCGGCCGAGCGCUCCCUGCUCCUGCUCUCGCCGCGCUCUUAGUGCUCUGGGUCCCCGGGGCGCGGCGCAGCAGCUGGUGGCGCGGUGGGCAUCUGCGCGGCCUCUUCUGUCCCCACGCGUGACCUGAUCGCUGCGGCGGCGGAAUCCCACGGUGGAGGCCCAGAGCUGCACCGAGAGCCGUGCGCCCAGCUCCUCCUGGGCCUGGGUUUAGGGUCCGCGGCUCUUGCCAAAUUCCAGAGGCUGGAAGGGACGCGAAGUGGCCCCGACUUCUCAGGCGCGCAGAGGACUCCGAAUCUCUGCUAAAGCCCCGGAAAGGGCAGAGGGCACCCACCCCGGCGGGGAGGAGGGCUGCUGUGGUCUCUGCAUCGCGUCUCUCGACCCAGACUCCGUCUCGGUCCGAGAAGUCCUAAAGUGGCCAUUUACUACCUGAAACACGGGUGCCUGCCUCAGGCCUAAAGGGAAAGGGCUCAGUGGACAGGUUAAUGCCUGGAUGUGUGACAGCUGCUGUGGUCGCCCCAGGCCCAGCCCCAGCUGGGCUGUUCUCCGACACAAAAGGAGACAGAAACCAUUUCCGUCUCCGCUGUGAUGGAGCGUGAUUCAUCGCCCAAGGAGCGGUGGGUUGUUCUUUCUUGUGCCUUGCUCCCCACCCAGUUCUCUUUCCCCAGGGGCCAGAGACCCCUACCUUUUUAAAGAGUCCUCUCUGCAGACAGUCCUCUUGAAAAGGACCUUCUUUACGGAGUGCCUGGUUAUGGAAGGCCAUCUGAGAUGCUUGAUAGUGAGACCAGCUGUACCCUGCAGACGGGCCUUGCAACUGUGCCCUGCAGACUGAGCAGGCGGGGGCCCUGCUGACCUCCAGGACACACCCAUGGGAGCUGUGGCCUGGGGUCACAGGGACCUGGCAAAGGGAACACUUUGGCAUUGAUGAUCUGGGUGCCUCCAGUUUCGGCAUCUUUCUUCAGUGUCUUUUUUUUGAGACAGUCUCGUUCUGUCACCCAGUCUGGAGUGCUGUGGUGUGAUCUUGGCUCACUGCAACCUCUGCCUCCUGGGCUCAAGAGAUUCUCCUGCCUCAGCCUCCUGAGUAGCUGGCACUACAGGCAUCUGCCACCACACCCGGCUAUUUUUUUUUUUUUUUUUUUUUGUAUUUUUAGUAGAGACAGGGCUUUCACCAUGUUAGCCAGGAUGGCCUCGAUCUCCUGACCUCAUGAUCUGCCCACCUCUGCCUCCCAAAGUGCUGGGAUUACAGGAGUGAGCAGCCACACCCAGCCUCCUCUGCGUCUCUUAAGCUUGAAUGUGAAAGAGACCUUUUGUGCUUUCUUACAAAACACAUUUUAAAGACACUCUUAAAUAAAUGAGAAACUGUAAAAAAUGAUGGUUUUACCCUCUGAAAAUGUUUUAAAAUCAUGCAUUAUUACAGUAAAGGAGACUUUGGCUCUUUAAAUGAUUAUGUUUUGUAUGAUAACUAAAAGGAAAAGACAAAAAUCAAAGAAGUGUCUUGUAGAC
Molecule: long non-coding RNA, 1945 nt
Organism: Cebus imitator (Panamanian white-faced capuchin)
Lineage: Eukaryota; Metazoa; Chordata; Mammalia; Primates; Cebidae
Source: Ensembl